ACUUAGUUCAUUGCAUUGUGUGGAAAAAUGAAACUAUAACCUAACCUGGGGGGGGUCAACUAGUGAGCUCACGGCUAGUUGUAAAAAAACAACAGUGAGUCAGUUUUUGCAAUGCAAUGUUUAAUUU
RNAcentral lists this non-coding RNA (127 nucleotides) under Pogonomyrmex barbatus (red harvester ant). The record is from RNAcentral. Lineage: Eukaryota; Metazoa; Arthropoda; Insecta; Hymenoptera; Formicidae.